AGACUCAUCCCUUCUGGUUUUUGACCUGAAGUGUGAUGGAUUUGGGCGUCUUGCCAUUAACCUGGCUCGCCUUAAUAGCUUAAGUGGUUUAUUGGGACGUAAUAAGUUUUCGUUUCUACCAGACUGCUCAUAACUCUCUCCUGCAUAAGGAGAACUCAUGAUCUGACCUCAAAUCAGGUAGGACUACCCGCUGAACUUAA
This 200-nucleotide unclassified non-coding RNA is filed under the name soil metagenome. Its description in RNAcentral is "partial contains internal transcribed spacer 2 and large subunit ribosomal RNA". The record is from RNAcentral.